GCCAGACUCCUACGGGAGGCAGCAGUGGGGGAUAUUGCACAAUGGGGGAAACCCUGAUGCAGCGAUGCCGCGUGAGUGAAGACGGCCUUCGGGUUGUAAAGCCCUGUCGCAGAGGACGAAAAUGACGGUACUCUGCAAGAAAGCCACGGCUAACUACGUGCCAGCAGCCGCGGUAAUACGUAGGUGGCAAGCGUUAUCCGGAUUUACUGGGUGUAAAGGGCGAGUAGGCGGGAUUGCAAGUCAGAUGUGAAAACUAUGGGCUCAACCGAUAGAGUGCAUUUGAAACUGCAGUUCUUGAGUGAUGGAGAGGCAGGCGGAAUUCCCGGUGUAGCGGUGGAAUGCGUAGAUAUCGGGAGGAACACCAGUGGCGAAGGCGGCCUGCUGGACAUUAACUGACGCCGAGGCGCGAAAGCGUGGGGAGCAAACAGGAUUAGAUACCCCGGUAAC
RNAcentral lists this ribosomal RNA (447 nucleotides) under uncultured bacterium. RNAcentral's name for it is "bacterial SSU rRNA". It matches the Rfam family "Bacterial small subunit ribosomal RNA", at positions 330 to 794 of the family's 1533-position model. The record is from RNAcentral.